AAGAGUCAGCCAGUCCACAGUCAGCCUCUCCUGACGGGAUUCCUCCACGCUGGGCACUGCGGGCCACGUGAAGAGUCGGAGAUACUUCUGCCUCAUGGAAUCAAAGGAAGAGCUCUCAACUCUAUCAAAAAUCAGAUUGCUCCCGGAGUUAUGCUGGUGACCACAUAAACACUUGGAUCCUUGCUGGCUUUGUGGAGGUCGCAACCUAAACUGGACAUGUGGAUGUUGAGUGACAGAGGACAGACAGAUCAAAGAAACUCCAACCCCACGGGACCAAGACACCAGCCCACAAGUGGACCCUGAAGAACUCGCAUCAGCCACGAGAUUAGGGCCGCUACAGUCUCUUACUCCGGAGACAGAUCCAGUCCCUGACUCCCACAGCUGCUGUGGAUGGAGAAACUGAGACGGGACCAGAAGAAAUGCUCCCGUCUCCUCUCAUGAGAGCCCCACAGACCCCCAGCCCCUUCCCAGGAUCACACUUUCCAGGCUGAUGUGAAGAACCUGGGAAGGGAAGGGUCAUUAGGCCCAAGACUGGGGCCGGGAGCAGCAAUGCUCUCCACGAUCUCCUUAUCAGUGCAUGUAAACCCAAAUGUGAGGCUUCUAUUUUGGUGCCAUGGAAGACCCCCAGCACCUGCUGCUCACCCUCCUCCUCUUCGGUACCAUCUUUACCAAGACAGAGUUGUUUGGACAGCCUCGACCCUCAGGACAGGGCUAAGGAGUUUGGGUGGGAGAGCAGAAGAGAAAGACACUUCCUUAGUGCUUCCUGCAAACCCUGCCAGGCUAGAGGUGCCACGAUCUGGGCCCUGUAACAGACCUACUGGAUUAGCGGGGCAUAUGUGAGGGCCCUGGAUUCAUUGAAGCUGAUAGAUAAGGCUGUGGCCAGUAUACAGUGGACACAGAGCAUCUACUACAUGCCUGGCAUGGGCCUGACUAGCUGGAGGAGACCCAGAGAGGUACACAUUACAAAUACUGGAGACCGAACCCUAUGUAAUCUUACCCUCACUCCCGUUCAAACCUGUGAUCAUAUGUGGACUUCCAACACACGAGCUAGAUGGAAGAAAGAACUUCCCUGAACCUGGGUUGUCAACACUGUUCAGUAAACUCAUCAGAAGACCUUUCCUCUUGGAAGGUGGUGAACCAGGAGGCCCCCAUCUUGAUGGGCCAGGAUCAGGUCACGACAGGCCAGCCUGACAGACCACCCUCCCCGGGUCUGUCUGCACCACCAUCUCUCUGGCUGGGUACCAGGCUGGAAGAAGAGACCUUGUCUGUCGGAACAUCCUCUCUGGGUAAGUUUCUGUCUGUCUCCUCCUGCCUCUGACUCUCUCUCUUUCUCUGAGUCUUCAUGCAUCUUUCCAUCUUCAUCUUUCUGUCCCUCUCUUGCCUGGCCUUCUCCCUCCCCGCUGUUCCUUUCUCUUCUUCCACUCCCUGCCCCCCAUCACUAGAGGUGUCAAUGGCACAGUUUCCCUUCCCUCCAGCCCCCAUCUCUGCCCUCCCUCUGGCUGCAGGCCUACGGCCUAUUCUCUCCCGGGCCCCGCAGGUUUGGAUUUGGAUGGGGAAACCAGGAAGGUGGUCUGAAAAGUGACUUUUUGGCUACAAAAAGUUCUUUUUCUCCCUCUCUGCCCACCCGGCCCCCAGCCCUUCCUUCUCGAAGUGCCAGAGGCAGCUUGGAUGGAGCGCUAUGCUCUGCAGACUAAGGCAGGUUUAAACAGACCUGCAUCCCCAGGUCACCAGCUGGCUGUGGGGUUAUCAGAGGCACCAUCUCCCCACACCCCUGCCAGGCCCUGCGUGGAGGGCCCUGGGGCUGUGCUUAUGAAGCUGGCUGCCAAGCGGACGACCUGGAUCAGAGCUCGGGGUAGUCAUAUAUGACAAUUGGUUGAAAUAUCACAGCCGCUCUCCCCCCACCCCCAUUGGUGAUCUAUGGGCUGCGUGCCCUGUAAAAAUUAUUUAUCGGGGCCUCAGAGUGUCCUGAUUUAGUGCUGCUGCCUCUGGGGCCGAGGGGCCUGCCUGUCCGCCAGAGCCUAAGCGUUAAACGACGCUAAAAAGUUAAACGGCCAACGUUGGGGGCUCACUCGAGGAGGCGCCAUAAAGCUGUCGGAGCUGCUUAAAUCAGGAGCGAGGAUUCCCCGGGACAUCUUCUCACCAUAUGCCGCAAGCCAAGAAGGCUCUCCUCACCCCUCUGUGCUCACCCCAACCCAGCCGCCCACAUGGGCCAGGGGCCACGUGGGCCAGACCUGGGGUCCCGCGCAGAGCGGGUCAAGAUGCAGUUCUUAAGGACUUGCAGUGAAAGGCCACACGACAGCCCCUUCCAGGGGCCCGUGUCGGGGCAGCGCUUUCCUGGUGCCUCACUGACAACUGUUCCGUGGGUCGGACCCACUGGAAUCAGUGUCUUCCUGCUUGGGCUGGAAGCAGGUGUUCUGUCCCAGCCAGAUGGGGACCUCGGGUCGGCCCUCUGCCCCCACCUCCCCCCAUUCACAGCAAGAACAGAACUCCACACUGUGAUCCCUGCCCUCCGCCAGGCACCCCUGGGUGCCAGGCUGACACUCAAGGCUCACAGGUAGUCUUCCCGGCCGAAGCCCAGUCCAU
Odocoileus virginianus texanus is the source of this 2583-nucleotide non-coding RNA. NCBI's taxonomy places the organism in Eukaryota, Metazoa, Chordata, Mammalia, Artiodactyla, Cervidae. The record is from RefSeq and is a predicted model, not a curated record.